Molecule: long non-coding RNA, 368 nt
Organism: Myotis myotis
Lineage: Eukaryota; Metazoa; Chordata; Mammalia; Chiroptera; Vespertilionidae
Exons: 3
Source: RefSeq, a predicted model, not a curated record
CACCUGUGUCAUCCCAAAUGCCUGAGGAAAUGUUUCCUGUUAGUGUAUAUUAUGGAUGGAAUUGUAUUCUCCCCAAAUUCAUGUGUUGAAGUCCUAGCCCUCAGUACCUCAGGAUGUUGACUGUAUUUGGAAAUAGGGCUUUUAGAGAGGUGGAACCAAUUCAUAUUGGGAUAUGAUUUCUAAAAGUAAGUGAGGUUUAUUGAAUUACUGAGGAGUUUUACAAAUGAUAUAAAAUCUUUAAAAGUUAACCGCACCAAUGAUUACCGACGCCUUUUAAAGACUGUAGGACUCAAAAAGAAAAUUACCCCUUCGCCUAUCAGCAGAGUCCGAUGAGUGGAGAGCAGGGUCAAGGUCUCUGCCACCAGUCU